UUUGUUGUUGUGGGUGCUUGCUGCUUUCUGCACUAGUGAAUGUUUGUGAUUUACCUUGUUUUUCUUUUCAAUUGUUCAUAGGUUAUCAAUGACAGGUUCGGAAUUGUUGAGGGUCUCAUGACCACAGUGCAUUCCAUCACUGGUGAGCUUUUACUCUUGAGUUUUGAAGUUGUAUGAUUUUUUAUAACAUGAAUUGAAUUUGAAACUAACCUAAGUUUAUGUUUACCUUGUUAUUCAGCCACCCAGAAGACUGUUGAUGGUCCAUCACAGAAGGACUGGAGAGGUGGACGUGCUGCUUCCUUCAACAUCAUUCCUAGCAGCACUGGAGCUGCCAAGGUAAUUGGUGAAUUUUGAUUAACAAUGCUCUCUACUAUUGACUGUCUCUUGUAAGGUGUCUUGCAAUGCUAUCUUGACUAAUGUGUUUGUAUGUUGUGUGUUUUAUGAAGGCCGUCGGAAAGGUGCUCCCAGCACUUAACGGAAAGUUGACCGGAAUGGCUUUCCGUGUGCCCACUGUUGAUGUUUCAGUUGUUGACCUUACUGUCAGGCUUGCGAAGCCUGCAAGCUAUGACCAGAUCAAGGCUGCUAUCAAGUAAGCUUUGCUCUGUUCUUCUAUAUGUUUGGUAUCCUUUAUCAGGAUGUUGCUGUUUAAAUAACCAUGACGUUGUUGUGGUGCUAAUUUUUAUCUGUGAUUCUGUCAUGAACAGAGAGGAGUCUGAGGGCAAGCUGAAGGGUAUCUUGGGAUACACCGAAGAUGAUGUUGUGUCCACUGACUUCAUUGGUGACAGCAGGUAAAAUAUUAAAUCCAUUUUUGAUGAAUGUGGUAUUGUUAUCCAUUGUCAAUAUUAUGUUAAAACAGUUUUGAAUCUAAGUUUGCCCCUUAAAAAACGUAGGAUUGUUGUGCUCUCCUAUGGUGUUUUUGCUGAUUGUUCGUUAGAUACCAUGAAUGUAGCCUAAUUAGGUGUUUUGGUGCUCUUGCAGGUCAAGCAUCUUUGACGCCAAGGCUGGAAUUGCAUUGAACGAUACCUUUGUCAAGCUCGUCUCAUGGUAUGACAAUGAGUGGGGUUACAGUACCCGUGUGGUUGACUUGAUCGUGCACGUAGCAUCCACCCUCUAAAUCCAUAAUCCUUGAGGAUCCAAGGCCUUUAUUUUCCAAGUGUUGAGUGUCUCUAGG
This 1171-nucleotide long non-coding RNA is filed under the name Malus domestica (apple). RNAcentral's name for it is "long non-coding RNA (MDOM_LNC011875)". Lineage: Eukaryota; Viridiplantae; Streptophyta; Magnoliopsida; Rosales; Rosaceae. The record is from RNAcentral.